UACAAGUGGAAGGAGGAAGAUGGUCAAAUUUAGAAGCUAGCAAGUCUAGGUGCUCCCGUGAAAGAAUGUUGAAAAACCUUGUACAUAUAUAGAAAAGAUUAAUAUGUAUGACUGUAUUAGCUGUGUCACAUGAACUUUUCUCUUUAUAUUAUAAUAUUGUUUUCCCUAUAAAUUAUGGUCCAAUCUUGCUUAGCUAGCUAAAAUUGUACCAUGAUGAAAACAUCUAUCAUCGCUUUUCUUCUCCUGCAUACCAUUUUGCUCCAUCCUCUCGUUCUUGCUCGACAGCUAAUUGAGCUUGAAGGAAAAGGUGGCCUCAGGCAUGAAAUUACUAACGUUGAGGGCAAUGAUGGGAGCAAUGGCAGGAUUUGGAUGCCUCCAAUAAGACGCUGCUUUGGCGGAAUCGGCCGUGGAUGCGUGCUGCCACCCCCAUCACCGGUGACUAAUUGCGGAGCCAACCAACGCUGCUAUCCUCCACCAACAAAUUAAGGAUUAGUGCUGUGUAGUCUCGCAAUGAAAUUGUAAUCAGCUGCUGGUGGAAUUAAUUUUGAAGUUAAUCUAAAAAACUCAUUUUGUUUUUCGAAGUGCUCGUAUAAUGUAUUAAUAUUAUAAUUAUUCCAAGUCUUUAGAUACAAAUUCAAGAAUUUUCUCACUAAUUGGGUUCAAA
Populus nigra (black poplar) is the source of this 664-nucleotide long non-coding RNA. RefSeq lists it as uncharacterized. The transcript has 2 exons. Lineage: Eukaryota; Viridiplantae; Streptophyta; Magnoliopsida; Malpighiales; Salicaceae. The record is from RefSeq and is a predicted model, not a curated record.